RNAcentral lists this long non-coding RNA (247 nucleotides) under Ananas comosus (pineapple). RNAcentral's name for it is "long non-coding RNA (ACOM_LNC040661)". Lineage: Eukaryota; Viridiplantae; Streptophyta; Magnoliopsida; Poales; Bromeliaceae. The record is from RNAcentral.
UAGUCAUUCAUUUUGAGACUUCGUUCAUUAGGCAAACGAAGUCUAAAAAUUAUAAAAUUUAGUUUCAAAAUAGUUCUAAUAGUUUAAAUCAUGCCGAACGAAAUCAAUCGUCGAAUUAGAUAUCACAUCAUUAAAAAUAACUUAUAAAUAUGAACAUCUUCGUACUUUCGAAAGCAUAGAAGUCUAGCUCCAAAAAUUCACGGUUACAUAUAAUAGAAGUCUCUUUUUCCAAUCCAUAUCAAAACAA